RNAcentral lists this ribosomal RNA (490 nucleotides) under uncultured bacterium. RNAcentral describes it as "bacterial SSU rRNA". It matches the Rfam family "Bacterial small subunit ribosomal RNA", at positions 25 to 518 of the family's 1533-position model. The record is from RNAcentral.
CAGGACGAACGCUGGCGGCGUGCCUAACACAUGCAAGUCGAGCGGAGACAGAUGGAAAGCUUGCUUUUGUCUGUUUCAGCGGCGGACGGGUGAGUAACGCGUGAGCAACCUGCCUUUAACAGGGGAAUAACGCAUCGAAAGAUGUGCUAAUACCGCAUAAGACCACAGCAUCACAUGGUGCAGGGGUCAAAGGAGCAAUCCGGUUAAAGAUGGGCUCGCGUCCGAUUAGCUGGUUGGUGAGACAACAGCCCACCAAGGCGACGAUCGGUAGCCGACCUGAGAGGGUGAUCGGCCACAUUGGAACUGAGAUACGGUCCAGACUCCUACGGGAGGCAGCAGUGGGGAAUAUUGGGCAAUGGGCGAAAAAGCCUGACCCAGCAACGCCGCGUGAGGGAAGAAGGGUUUCGGCUCGUAAACCUCUGUCCUAUGGGACGAAGGAAGUGACGGUACCAUAGGAGGAAGCCCCGGCUAACUACGUGCCAGCCGCAGC